This 497-nucleotide ribosomal RNA is filed under the name uncultured bacterium. Its description in RNAcentral is "partial 16S ribosomal RNA". It matches the Rfam family "Bacterial small subunit ribosomal RNA", at positions 28 to 507 of the family's 1533-position model. The record is from RNAcentral.
GAUGAACGCUGGCGGCGUGCCUAAUACAUGCAAGUCGAGCGAACGGACGAGAAGCUUGCUUCUCUGAUGUUAGCGGCGGACGGGUGAGUAACACGUGGAUAACCUACCUAUAAGACUGGGAUAAUUUCGGGAAACCGGAGCUAAUACCGGAUAAUAUUUUGAACCGCAUGGUUCAAAAGUGAAAGACGGUCUUGCUGUCACUUAUAGAUGGAUCCGCGCUGCAUUAGCUAGUUGGUAAGGUAACGGCUUACCAAGGCAACGAUGCAUAGCCGACCUGAGAGGGUGAUCGGCCACACUGGAACUGAGACACGGUCCAGACUCCUACGGGAGGCAGCAGUAGGGAAUCUUCCGCAAUGGGCGGAAGCCUGACGGAGCAACGCCGCGUGAGUGAUGAAGGUCUUCGGAUCGUAAAACUCUGUUAUUAGGGAAGAACAUAUGUGUAAGUAACUGUGCACAUCUUGACGGUACCUAAUCAGAAAGCCACGGCUAACUACGUG